UUACCACUCGAGAAGGUGCGUAUUUUGUUCCUUUUUUGAAGACCCAAACGGACCGAAAUAAUACGGUGUUAAUAUGUCAUCGGCUUUUUUGUACCAUCGACGGCCGCAAGUGACAAUGUGCUUCGGUUUAUUUAGAGUUGGUGCCAAUCAGUGAAUUGCCUAUAGUUUGGUUGAAAAUAAAAAUAAAUGAAAAUUUUCCCACCGAAGUCAGGGCAGCAAGUGCGAAAACGUAUCGACGAUUUCGAGGAAAAUGAUCCUUCGUUCCUGAUGGUGGGCAACGGAAGAAAGUAAUUGUGAGAUUUGAGCUAACGAACGGCCGUUUUGUCGGUUUGAGAUGUGUGAGAAGGUGCAAUAAAACACAGAAGAAACAACAAAGGGGCGAAGGAAAAGUGCAAAUUGAGAUCCUGGAAAAAAUUGGAAGGUUUGGUGAAGUGUGGUGAAGCAGAUCCACAAGUGCCAAAGGUAACACGUGAAGAGUUCGAAAAUGCAGUUACAUUGAGUGGCAACACCGACAGUGUCAGAUCAGUUCACAACUUUUGGAUGCUGCUCCAGUCCUUCGUAUGCCGAUCAAUAGUAUUCGCUAUCUGUGACCCUCGGAUGUAAUAAAACGACGGCAGUUAAGAUCGUCGUUGUGUCCUGCCGUUGUUGUGCGAAUCAUUUUUUUUUCUUGUUGGUUGGUGGUGUGCACUUCGUAGGCAAAAUACCACAGCCGUCAUCAACAGUAUAGUACCAGCCGAGUGAGUGGAGCCAAACAGCGCAGAAAACUGGUCAUGAGUUCGAUAUGCUAAUCACUGGCUGGUGGUCGUUGUUCGACAAUGCUUGAUCUACUGGGGUUGUCGGCAUCACGUCUUUCUCGUGGACCGUGGUAGGGUACGAUACUCUAUAGGGGUUAGACGAAAACGUUGGGAUAGUUUCCUCAGCAAACGACCGAUGGGGAAGUAGAUUUGUGUUCAAAAGCGGAACCCCAGAACGUGUGCCGCCAUCAGCAACGACUUCGUCGGAUAAAAGGCAAUAGCUUUCGCAUAAAUCAUGAUAAUGUGAAAACAAAAGAAUACCAAGUUCGAAAAGUGUGUACAGAAAUCAAAGUUUAUCACUCCAGUGAGGGAAAACGGAAGAAACGGAGAGUUGUUAAGAGUAUAUCAAUGUGGACGGUGGAAGUCAGUGCUGCUAAGAUAUAACCGUUCAUAAGGGCCUAAUAGCCAGGAAGUUCGAUAAGGGAAUUUUGCAAAACGAAAAUGUGGUCAAUUAGUGGCCUUUUGAUGGCCUUUUUGGGCGCGUGCUGCCUCUUGGCGGCCUCAGCCAAUGCAAAACUGGGCCGAGAUGAUGUGGAUAUCGAAGAGAUGCUACGGGAUGACCCGUUCAGUAAUCAGCGAGACGAAGAUUUCGGAUCCGGCGAGAUACGGAUUGCACAGCCGAUGCGACAUCGGAAUGGACGGAUGCGGAUUGGACAGCUUCGGCGAGGUGGACAUCGAACGCGACACUCGAAACACGACCUGAAGCUACUGUCCGGUCUCACAUCGUCCUCUGCCGUGGAUUACGACCACGGUUUCCAAAAACCAACUGGACUGUGGCCAUCAUUCUUCAACGUCGCAAUGCGGGCGACAAUUUCGGUGAACGCAACCUGUGGUCAACACGGCAAGGAAGAGUACUGUCGCCUGCAGGACCCACACCGAUCGCGAUCAUCGCAGUGUGGCAUAUGCGAUGGCAACAAUCCCGAUCUGGAGAAACGACAUCCCAUUACGAAUAUUGUCGACGGGACGAAUAGCUGGUGGCAGAGUCCAACGAUGCACAAGUCGAGCAAGAAUGAUCGCGUAACCAUUUCUCUCGAUUUGGGACAGAUCUACCAAGUGGUGUUUUUCACGAUGCGUGCCGCUAUCUCACCUCUGCCGGCGGCGUGGGCUUUGGAAAAAUCUACAGACGGCAAGGUUUACAGCGCAUGGCAAUACUUUGCGGCAGACGACGACGAGUGUCGGGAGCGUUUCGGUCUGGCAGCUCACAGUGCCAACUACAUCUUCAAGAACGACUCCGAAGUGAUAUGCUCGACGCAAUUUUCCUCCAUAGACCCGCUCGAGAGUGGUGAAAUCAACCUUUCGCUCAUCACCGGUCGACCAAGUGAGAAAACGACUUCACAAGAGCUGCUCAAUUUCACCUUGGCUCGCUACAUUCGGAUUCGCCUGCUGCGUAUGCAUACCGCGGUGUUUCGAGAUGGCGUCAGUGCCGACAGUGGAGUGGACAUUCAGGCGCAGGCGAAACGAAGCUUCUACACCAUUCGUUCGCUGCGGAUCGGUGGGCGGUGUUUCUGCUCCGGACAUGCUGCAAAGUGCAAAGCCAACGAUAAUAACAUAGACAAUCUGCCGCGGUGCGAAUGCAUGCACAACACUUGCGGGACCCACUGCGAUCGGUGCUGUCCGUUGUACAACCAGAGACCCUACCGAGUUGGAACGCCGUUUCAGGCUAACAAGUGUGAAAAGUGUGAGUGUAAUGGACAUGCCAAGGAAUGUUAUUACGAUCGGGAUGUGGACGAGAAGGGACUUAGCGUGAAUGUACGCGGGAAGCUCAGUGGCGGUGGUGUCUGUAUGAAUUGCACCAAAUUCACUACUGGCAUCAACUGCGAAAAGUGCAUUCCUUUUUAUUACCGGCCCGCGGAGAGAAUGCCAAACGCAGAAGAACCAUGUGUGCCGUGUAGUUGCAGUGCAAAAGGAUCUACUGGUGAAUGUAAUCCGAUUGGUGGCGAAUGCGUUUGUAAGGAAGGAUUCACGGGUUCCAGAUGUAUGGAGUGUGCUCCCGGUUAUCAUGGAGAAAACUGUACGAAAUGCCUAUGUGACAUAAAAGGAACAAUGCCUGGAGGUGAAUGCGAGUCACAUUGUCAGUGCAAGUUGCACGUGGAAGGAGAACGGUGUGGUCGAUGCGUAUCAGGAUACUUUUCACUGAGAGCCGAUAAUCCUGAAGGUUGUUCGAAAUGCUUUUGCUCAGGAAUAGGACAAACUUGCUCGAGUGCAGAUGUGAACAGUUCUAGCUAUGGUACAUUGGAAGGCUGGAGUGUUACGGAUUUGGCAAGGUCAAGAAUGGUUUAUCCCACGAGAGACAACGAAACGGGAUUCAUGGUUAUUGGAAUGUUUGAGUUGUCAGAAACUGAAGCCGUGUAUUGGUCCACCCCUAAGGGGUAUUUGGGGAACCGAUUGCAAAGUUAUGGAAAUAAGUUUGUUUUCAAAACGUCUUGGGUGAUAGUUCGUGGCGAUACAAGUGGCAAGCCAACCACCGGUCCAAGUAUCGUUCUUUGUGGAAGAAACGGAAUGAAAAUUGCAUACGGAGAUGAAACAUUUACUGGACCUUCAAACGCAACUUUGGAGAUAGUUCUAAAAGAAGACAAUUGGUAUCAUGUGCCGAAAAGUGUAAGAGACAUAGUUACACGACUGAAAAGAACUGAAUAUCACGGUGAUCCAGUGACAAGGGCACAAUUCCUAUCAGUUCUUAUGGACGUCGAAAGUAUCUUGCUGAGAGGAACCUUCCACACCGAUCAGGUGGAAAGCGUUUUGGAAGCUGCCACCUUACAUGAAGGAAGCACAGAAACCGAAGUUUCCGUUAGUGAAAGUUUAGUGGAAAAGUGUGAUUGCCCUCCGGGCUAUACCGGCCUGUCAUGUGAACAAUGCGCAUUUGGACAUGUGAGAAUCUAUGAAAACACAAUCACCCACGAAAAUGUGGCAAAGUGCAUCCCUUGUACGAUGUGCAAUGGACACGCGGAAAGUUGCGAUCUGGAAACGGGUGAAUGCGGAUUGUGUCAUCAUAAUACAUUCGGUGACACCUGUGAACGAUGUUUGCCGGGGUAUUUUGGCAAUGCUUUGCUUGGCAAUCCGAACGACUGUAAGAAGUGCGCAUGUCCGUUGGAGGCGGAAACCAACAACUUUUCGCCGAGUUGCCUGCUCAAAGGAGGAACUGAAUUACUAAACAAUACGGAAUACAUCUGUACGCAAUGCCCCGAAGGUUACACAGGUGAUCAUUGUGAAAUAUGUGACGACGGUUAUUACGGAAAUCCGAUGGAAGUGGGUGGUAAAUGUCUCCCUUGUCCUUGUCACGGUGGUCCAUGUAACGCAAGGACUGGGGAGUGCAUCGAGUGCUUGGGUAACACGGAGGGAUGGCGUUGUGAGCGCUGUAAAAGUGGCUACUGGGGGCUUCCCGACGAGGGAUGCGAACCAUGCAGUUGUUCAGAAAUUGGUGCUUUGGAGAAUGUCUGCGAUGUCAUUACGGGACAGUGCAUCUGCAAAGCUCGCUACGGUGGACGAAGGUGUGACGAGUGUGAUAGUGGCUACGGGAAUCUGGACCUUGAUUGUCCGGCUUGCGAGUGUCAUGCGAAUGGGUCGGCAAAUGGGGUUUGCCAUAAGCUCAGUGGUCAGUGUGUGUGCAAGUUGGGCGUCGAAGGUAUCAAGUGCGACCAGUGCCAGGAGGAGUUCUUUGGCCUUUCGGAGGAGUUCCCGGACGGUUGCGAAGGAUGUCGUUGCCACGUGGAAGGAUCGGCAAACCGGUUGUGCCACCGGCAAAGUGGACAGUGUGUCUGCAAGCCCAACGUCAUGGGUCGUCAGUGCAACAAGUGCAUGGUCGGCUACUGGAAUGUGCAGUCCGGAGUGGGGUGCAUUCCGUGCUCGUGCGAUCCCAACGGGAGCGGCAAACUCGAGUGUGAUACGAACAGCGGCCAGUGCUUCUGUAAGGACGGUGUCGAAGGCGUCAAGUGCGACCGCUGCCAGCAGGGCUACUACGGGUUCUCUAGUCAAGGGUGUAAGAGGUGUGAGCAAUGUGCGAGUGCAGCGUACGUGUGUGAUCCGGACACCGGCCGAUGUGUGUGCCCACCGAACAGUCACGGCCACGAGUGUCGUAUCUGCGCUGUUAACACCUGGGGUAACGUGUUCCAGAGGGGAUGCCGGCACUGUGAGUGCGAUAUUGCAGGCUCUAUUGGGCAGACAUGCAACAGCGGUACCGGACAGUGUAACUGCAAGGAAGGCUACACGGGAAGGCAGUGCAACGAAUGUUCCAUCGGUUACUACGGUUAUCCGAACUGUCGCCGGUGUGACUGUGAUGAGCGGGGAUCGAUUCCUAAUUCUGACGGUAGUUUGGACUGUGAUGAACACGGCCAGUGUCAUUGUAAAGCGAUGACCUUUGGACGCCAGUGCGAUCAGUGUAAAUCGGCUACCUUCGGUUUGGCCUCGGUGAACCCCGACGGAUGCACGAGAUGCUUCUGCUUUGGUAGAUCUCAGGAUUGUGAACAGAGUGAGCUUUCAUGGGGACAGAUUCGCUUACAAGGCUCGCGGAAUCUGAGCGUUGAGUAUGUAGUGAAAGAUGUGGAUGAGUAUGAUUUUGAUUACGUUGUAGUAAUCCAACUGGAGGGCACCAGAACUAACAGAGAGCUGUCUGAGGUUAAAACCAUGAACAACUUAGACUUGAUCCCCAGCUCAACGGGAAAUGUUUCGAUUGGAGCUUACAGCGCGUUUCAAUAUCCAUUGUACUUUCAACUUCCAUCACAGUUUCUUGGCGAUCGCACCACAAGCUAUGGAGGGUUGCUGAACUUUACUUUGGUUACGGUAGGGGCGUAUCAAAAUAUACCGGAAGGAUCGCUGCGACAAUUUCCCUUGGUUCAGCUACACACACAUGACGAACUAGUUUUGGAUUAUUAUGAAGAUCAGAUAGUGUACGGAGAGGAAGUAAUUCAGCAUUCGACAUUACUGCACGAAAGGUUCUGGAAAAAUCAUUACGAUGGAAAUGUAAUCACUCGAGCAAUUCUGAUGGUUGCACUACAAGACGUAAGACAUAUUUUCGUUCGAGGCACCAUCAGCACAAACUUCCGUCAAGUUUUAUUGACGAAUGUUACCUUGGACAUGGGAAUCUUCGUAGCCGGCGCAGAAAACAAUCAUGCUUUCGGAAUUGAACGAUGCAUUUGCCCUGCUCAAUACAGUGGAUUAUCGUGUCAAAACCCAGGACCUGGUUACUAUCGAUUUAAGCCGCAGAUUCCGAAUAAGCUACCCGAGACGAUUGAUGAUUACGUCGGGAAGAGUCUUCCAUGCGACUGCAGUGGUCGCAGUAACGAGUGUCAUCCUGAAACUGGAGUGUGUCUGAACUGUCGAAACAAUACCGGUGGAGAUCACUGUGAAGUAUGCGCCGAUGGAUUCUAUGGCACUCCGAGUCAUGGAUCUUGCCAUGCAUGUCCCUGUCCGGAAACGAGGAAGAACUUCGCAAAAGGUUGUAUCGUUCGAGGUGACAAAGUGAGCUGUAUUUGUAAACCAGGCUACACUGGACGGCUAUGCGAGGCCUGUGAAAAGGGUUACUUUGGAUUCCCACAUCUGGAAGAUGGUCGAUGCGAGUCUUGUGGGUGCAAUCGUGAGGGUAGCAUAUCAGAUGAAUGUGAUUCCUGGACUGGACAGUGCCGUUGUAAACCGGGCAUCACCGGGAUGAAAUGCGAUCGUUGUGAGCAACCGAAAAACAUUGUGCAGAACUACAAGUGCAAACCAUGUGAUAAUUGUACUGUAACUCUAAUUGAUGAUUUUACUUAUCUCACUGAUCAUUUGGAUCGAGAGACGGCUCACAUCGACAAGAACGGAAUUCCAGCUCCUUGGAUCGAUUUGGAGCACUUUGAACAAGAAUCUGAAACGCUGGGAGCUUCAGUAGGAAUGCUGUUGGAUGUCAAAGAUCGAGUGGUCAAUUUCGAUCAAUCCAUAUUGGAUAGCAUGAAACGCAAUGCAACCCGAUUGAACAAACAUCACACCAAACUUGCCAAUCGAUUGGACGAAUUCCGGGAUAUUUCAGUGAUCAAAACAAUGGAACGCUCUGCCGCACUGGCAAACGAUGUAAACGAAAUGAAAAACGAAAUUGAAGACACGAUUCGGAUUCUGAACAACUAUGGAACCAGUGACAGCCACAUCAAACUACCAGCAGCAUUGAAGGAAGCAACCGAUCUUCUGGAAGAUAUCAAACAGAAAUACGCACAGAGCAAACGACGUCCGGAGAUUCUGGAAUGGGCGCAACAACAAUAUGAUUUGUUGGGGAACAAAUCGGAAAUCUUACUACGGCAGAAUAAAAGACUGGAUGACUACAUGUAUGAGGUUGGAGUGUUCAACGAUCGGAUGCAACACUUUGAGAGGUUGAACAAGGAGGUCUUCAAUAAUGCAACGUUGACCGAGACGUUUUCCAGCAAAAACAGAAGAAAGAUGGCUGAAGUGGAGCGAAGUUUUCAGCAGGCCGAUGAAAUGGUUGAUGAAGUGGAUGGGUUCUUGGAUGAAGAUAUAAUGGCGGAAAGUGUAGUGAAACAUGAGCAGAUCAAGGACAAUCACCAACAGUUACAGCAAAACAAGGAAAACUUGAAAUAUUUAAACGACGCUUUAGAGCAAACGAUUAUUGAGUUUGAUCAGAAAUUCGAAAGUCUUACGGGGAAUGAGAUACCCGUGGCAAAGGAACAUGCAAAUCGAUUGAAAAAAGAAUCGGACGAAUUCCAGCAGUUGUUUAAGGAUACGGAGAAAGGAGCUGCGAAUGCAAUGAAAGCCAGUAUGGCUUAUGAGAAUAUCGUUGCCGCUAUUGUUUCUGCACAGGAAUCCGCAGACAACGCAACCGACAGUGGUAGAGUAGCGAACAACAAGGUUUAUCCGCUGGGAGGUGUUUCAUUGGUAGAGCGUAGCGAACAUGCGGCAAAUGUUUCGUCCAAUAUUGAAAAGAAAGCACAUAAAGAACUAGAAAAGGCAAACGAAUUGAACGAAGUGAUGGUGUCAAAGGAGAAGCAAGUCGAAAGCCUGCAAUACAAAAUGCGACUGGCGGGAGUGGAAAACAACAAGAUUGUAGAGGAAGAAGGGUUGAUCACAAGAGGCGAUGCGAUGAAGAAGUUACAGGGAACAUUGGACCAGGCAAACAUUGUCUCAGAUCAGAUGAAAUUUGUACGCGAAGAAGCUGGUGUGUUAAACAGUGAUGUGUACAAGUUGAAAUUGAAGCUAGCUAAGUUGGAACCGGAAUGGGACACAAAGUUUGGAAUGGCAGAGGAAAACGUUUCACAGUCGUUGAGUAACAUUUUGAAAGCCAAAAAGGAACUAAGUAGAGUAGAGAAGUUGGACAAAAUCCAAAGUGAGAAAUUUAGAACAUGGAAUGCGUCUUUUUCGGCUCAACUUCAAGAGUUGAAGGAUAAGAUUGCCCGGGCUAAGCAUGCAGCAGAAGGGAUCCGUGUAUCCCUCGAGUCUCAAAGUGAUUGCGUGCGAUCAUACGCUCCGGUAUCGUAUGGCCCAUCUACCACUAAUCGCAUCAUGAUGUCUGUGGCCUUAAACUCUGACAUCAACGAUUCACCACUGAUCUACAUGCAAGGAGAGAAUCAUCGAUUUGUUGCGCUUGAAAUGCACAAAAGAAGAAUACGUUUGGUUUGGAAUCUUGGAGAUAAAGCGGUGGUGAUCACUCAUCCAACGGAAAUAAAGCAGCGUGAUCCAAAGUAUGACGACGCGUGGUAUUUCAUCGAAGCAAAUCGCACUCUCAACUUGGCUUACCUGAACGUCCGACGAAUGACGCAUAGUGGUGUAUUAGUUCCUACCCAUUCCGUUGAAGGAGCGAGUAGCGCUUCAUUUUCCACAAUCACCAUGGGUCCAAGCAGUAGGAUUUGGAUAGGUGGAGUCCCAGAACAUCUACAAACUCCUGAGCUGCUGGCUAGAGAUGGUCUUGGGGUAGUUUUGAGUCAAUUGUACAUAGACCAACGGCAGCUUGGUUUGUGGCAUUUCAUGUCUUCUACCGGAAACUGCGAAGGGGCCAUGCUAGGGCCUCAAGAAAGCUCCAGCACAACCAGCGAGAGACAUUUCAAUGGAGAAGGCUACGCUGUGCUGCAGAAGUCAUCAAGCCAUAGGAGCAAGAAUCAAUUCAGUUUGACUUUAAGCUUCAAGACAUUGGACGAGAAUGCUUUGAUUUUCCUAGCGCUGGACGAAGUCAAUAACCGUUCAAUUUCACUCACCCUCUACCAAGGCCGGUUGGUAUUCCGUGUAGACUACGGAGGUGACUCAAAACUGGAGAUCAAUACCACUAAUCGUUAUAAUACCGGUCAGUGGGUGGUUGUUGAAGCUGCCCGAUCAUUUUCCAAAGGUAGUACUGAAAAUGGAAUUCUGAAGGUGGACAACAAAGAAGAGUUCCGAGGGGCACCAACGAAACCGAUCAACUCAGGAAUGUUACCCAAUUUGAGCGAAAACUACUAUCUAGGAGGAGUGCCUCCUGGCUUCAAAUCUGGAACAACCAAAGCACCCGGUGCGGAUCAUGCUUUCCUUGGCUGCCUGAAAGGAGUACAAAUAACUGGUGUUUCUUACGAUCCACUGGAUAGCUCGAAACAUUUUGGUAUAGAAGGCUCUUGUAUUGAUACCAUAAGUAGAGCAGGAUUCUACGGAAAUGGUUUUGUAGAGUUUCCCUCUCAUAGCCUAAGGAAACGAGCCAACUUCGGGUUCGUUUUCCGCACGCUGGAACCGAAUUGCUCUCUAUUGUUGUCUGGAUUCCCGUCUAGUUUGUCCAACGAAUACGAUUCGAAAGACAUGCGCGGAAACUAUUCCGUAUUCCUUUACGAAGGAAAGCUAAAUCUAUGGGUAGACUCAGGAGCAGGUCGAGUUGAACUAGAAUCGAACAAUACCUUGAACGAUGGAGAAUAUCACGUUCUCAAAGUGAUAAAGCGAGGCAGAGCAGUAGAACUUCGAGUUGACGACGAGUUUCAGGGAGCUAAGUCAUUGCCUAAGCAGCAAGCCUUGGUCAACAUGCCAGGAGAACUAGGAGGUCUAUUUCUGGGAGGUGUUCCAGAUGAUCCAGCAUUUGAUUCGCUCUCCAAAUCAUUCAACGGCUUGAAGGGCGUCAUUGCCAACGUUGUGUUCAACAAUCGAACGGUAUCGUUCGAUGAGGCUCUCAAUUUCACCAACGUUCAGAUGGGUCGAUCUGGUCCAGAAAUGGGUUCCAACAUUCUGCAUACGACGCUACAGCAGACUCAACCUUUCAGUCGCAGCUUCAAACCUCCACCAGAGGGAUGCAAUAGGAGUGUUGAUAAUACUAACGGUUGUUAGCGAAGUUAGCUCGAACGCAGUCUAGAACUUCAUAACUAGUAAUUUAUUUAGUUUUGCAUGUUGUUUCCAUGUCACAGCAAUUGGUUUCAAUAUCCUCAGUUCAUUGUUACUUUAUUUUCUAUUGCUUACUUUAUUGGUUAUAUUGGUGAAGGUUUUAGUUUAAAAUUGGUUUCUGGCACAUAGUUUUAGUUUUUUCACGAGCAGUUACACACUUCUAACUUCAAUUGGGUGUAUCUUUUAUCUGGUACUAAACUGGCACUAAUUUUCACACAAACACAAAAAAGCUUAGCUCAGUAACACAGGUUGGAAGCUACUCUUAUGAACCGAAUGCUUUCAAGUAUGGUGAUAAACCUCAGAGUCACUCGAUAGUCAACGUUGCAGCUCGUCACCUGUGGCAGCGAAAUUUCAACAUCCAGUUCGAUUUCCGCACCUUCUACCCUAAUGGAGUGUUAUUCGUAGCAUUGGGCUCUAAAGACAAAGCGAAGCACUUCAUAACCCUGGGGCUAAAGGAUGGAUCCUUGGCAUUAACGGUGCGGGGUCGCAAACGGGAUCAGCUGGUGCUGCCGGUGAAGCUCAACGACGGCCAGUGGCAUCACGUAUCACUGAACAGUAUCAAGAAGAAAGCAACUCUGAGCGUGCAAACUGAGAACGGCCUCAGCUCGGCGCAAAUCAAACUACCAAAGAAACUGAAUGCUGCCAACAAUCUUUUUAUUGGAGGCAUUCCAGACGAAACACUACUGCCGAAAGAGCUGCAACCGAAGCCGGAGGAGUUCAAGGGAUGUUUGAAGAAGUUUUCGGUGAACAACAAUACUCAAGAUCUGGCACGGCCAGGGCGGCACAUGAAUGUUGGACAGUGCUUCCCGCGAAUCGAGCAAGGUUCAUAUUUCCCGGGUGACGCUUAUGCCAUAUACAAGCGUAACUUCAACGUUGGAAAGUUUAUGGAUGUUGAUCUCGAACUCCGAACGUCGGAAGUGAACGGAAUUUUGAUGAGUGUUGCCGAACCCAUCAAUGGGUUCCCUGCCUUCUCGCUGGAGAUUUCCAAUGGAAAUGUUAUUCUUUCCAUCGACGUUGGUGAUGGGUAUCCCAUCCGAGUUCAGAGCACACUGCCUUCCAAGUACACUUUGUGUGACAACCGGUGGCACAACGUAUCCGCACUGUACGAAGAUCAUCAGAUAGUGCUUCGGGUGGACGACUAUCCGCCCAACACUCUACUGGUACAAUCCAACGAUGUCCUACGAAGGGUGGCCACCAAGGCCCCCCUCUACAUUGGAGGGCUUCCUGAUACCGCACCGAGCGGGACACUUCUUCUGCGCGAGAACUUCAAGGGCUGCAUACGAAAUGUUGUGAUUCGAAACGAACGAAAAGAUUGGACCGAUAUGGACAACCUCCACAAUGUGUUGCUGAGCGAGUGUCUGGCAGUUAAUUGAAUAGUGGCACAACUGCCUCUGUAAAUAGUAGAACAUUCAUCAAGCCAUUACGCUUAACAAGAGUUGUAGCAGCAUUACGAGUGUAGCGAAAAAUUGCCUCAUGCUUUUUUGAGGAACUCUGACAUACCAAAAACAUAAUACUUAUUCUGUAAAAAAAAGUAACGAAAUGCUCCGAGAGGCUUCUUUCCUAUGCAAGUGUAGUAUUGAGUAACCAAGAGAACUCUAACUGAUGUGCCUUCUUGGACGCUUCUUCCUCUGUAUGAUAGAAACGAAUGCGUACAAACCACCGAUCCUAAGCCUAUGAUUAUUGUUUUAAUAGUUGACGAAAAUGCUACAAAUCAUGUGUUCUAAUUGUGAAAGCCUUGUAAAAUACAUUCAAGUCAUAACUCUGUUGAAAUAAAUAUAAGUAUUUAUUUAGAAGAACAAAAAUGCGCACAACUGCCAAUAAACGUUCUCAGUGUCGUUCCUGUUUUGAGAAUAAUCUGACAAAUGGAUAAGAUCUAAUCGUAAGAUAAUGUUGCUGCCAUAAAAACAGAUAGGAUAACUCUAUUUAACGUCAUAUUUAACAUAUUGAUAACUUGUUCAGUGGAUUCCAAUAUUGAAGGUGUAAAUUGUUAUUCAUUCAUCUCAAUCCAAGCAUUUUUCAUGAUAAACAUAUUUAAGUCCACAAAAGAAAAUGUAGUUCAAUGUUUCUGUGAAAUGGAUCGAAGAAAAUACACUAAUAUUCUACUUCUAAUUUUAAA
Molecule: RNA transcript, 12207 nt
Organism: Aedes aegypti (yellow fever mosquito)
Lineage: Eukaryota; Metazoa; Arthropoda; Insecta; Diptera; Culicidae
Gene: wb
Gene name: laminin subunit alpha-1
Exons: 25
Source: RefSeq, a predicted model, not a curated record